GCCAGGCCGCGCCGCCGCCCGGGGCAGGGCCGGGGGGAGCCGAGGGGGCCCGGCAGCCCCUGCCCGCCCUGCCCGGCCCGGCAGCCAUGUUGGGGCGGCCUGGAGGCGGCACCGGGGCUCCCGGGGGGACGAGCGGCCCUGACGCCCCCCAGCCAGGCUCCAUCCCAAGGGGUCCACCCUCCGCAGGAAGUCAAAAUGAGUAACAUCUAAUGGAGUGACAAAGCAAAAUUUCCACAGAGUACAGCUGUGAGAAGCAUCAACACCAGUAACUUGAGGAGUUAUGUAUUUUUUCCUGCUCUGGCUAGUCAGUGAUUAUGAAAGAGUGACAAGAAGGCUGAUUUGCAUAAGAAAUACCCUCAGGACAAUGCAGAGUUUUGUUUCACAAGUUUUUAGGUUCAAAAAGCCAAGUAAAGUUGUUUUCCAAUAACUUUCCACUGUCCUGCACUUUUGAAUUCCUGACUCUGUCAAGCUAUGGAAAUGCCAGAAUGCAGACAGUUCUUCCUGGGUUUUACCUAGGCAGAAGUGGUAAAACCUGAAAAUCUUUUAAUAUUUAUUACACACCUUAUAAAUAAUUUUGUAAGAUUGUGUCUUUCAAACGGGGUGACAGAUGAGGAGACCUUCAGUCUGGCUGAAUAAUUUGCCCCCAGCGUGUGCUGGAACACAGACAAACAGGAUGUUUUAGCCCCAAUUUAUUGAUAGAAAAAUUGAGACAAGGAAGUGAAGGCAUUUAUUUUUCAAGCGUAAAAGUGCUCAUUUGUAAGCAGGCAAUUUAGGCUCGAACUUUUUUUUUCCCUUUUUUUUUUUGAGGAAAAGGACCGUGUAUAUACAGUUCCCAUUGAAAUUACACUUGAGGCACCCAAGCAGAAAGACUUUGGCCAUACUCUUUUGGGGUCCUGCAACCCUAAUCCCAUGUUCUAAUUGGCCAGUAAUCUGUGGACAGAUAUUGUAACAGUUCCUUUAGAAUAUUUUUCUACUUCUCGCUCAUUUGCAUACUAAUGGCAUAAAAAUAGGCACUUCCUGCCAGUAAUUAGUUAGAGCCCAGAAUUUAAAGAAAGAAAAACACCACAGCAUUAUGGUAGACGGAUGGUACUGAGGAAGCUGCAGAAAAGAGUCACUUCUCUGGUGCUCAGAGAGUGCCUUUAAUUUAGAGUUCAAGGCUGGCAACUCUGUUACCUCUGUGUAACAGGGAUUAACUGUUUGCUUGGCCUAAUAACUUUGCCUCUAAUGAGCCUUUCUAACUUUUUUCAUGGCAAAUCACUCGAUCUGUCCUGCACCCAGGCUUGCUGCUGUAAAACUGUAAAAUCUUUUUCUUUUUUUGCCUUUUUCCCAGAAAGAAUAAUGCUGGAGGUGAAGUCUGCACCGUGAGCAGAGUUCCGUGUGGAUCACCGGGACUCAGACCAUCACAGAGGCUGCUCAAAGGUUCUUCACCUAAUGAGGCACUGUGAAACUUUUACUACAUCAAGUCAUAUGCAAGUUCCAGGUUUAAAGAGCCCUUUAAGAGCUGGAGAGCUUUGGGUGUACAUAAGGGGUUGUUUGACCUCUCAUGUGUAGGCCAUAGACUUAAGUGCAAACCAAGCUGGUGAUAGCUAGAAAUGUUCCUCUUCUGACAGCAACAUAGGAAGCUUUUAGUUAAGAAAUCACAGAAUCACAGAAUGGUUUGUAUUGGGAGAGACCUUAAAGAUCGUCCAGUUUCAAUUAACUUGAACGAGAGAGUGAAAGUUUAUUUUGCUGCUUUCAUUCCCCUGACUUCUGGACAUCCUCAGUACAUGGAGCUCCUGGAGAGGGUUCAGCAGAGGCUACAGACAAAAUUAAGAGACUCUCUGUUACGAGGAAAGGCUGAGGGAGCUGGGCCUGUUCAGCCUGGAGAAGGGACACUGAGAGGGGACCUAAUCAAUGUCUAUCAGUGUCUGCAGGGAGGGGGCAGAGGAUGGACCAGGCUCUGCUCAGGGAUGCCCAGCAAUGGAACAAGAGGAACGGGCAGGAAAUGAUGCCCAGGAAGUUCCACCUGAACAUGGGGAAGAGCUUCUUUCCUGUGCAGUGACUGAGCACUGGAACAGAUCACCCAGAGAGAGUGUGGAGUCUCCCUCACUGGAGAAGUACACGGCAACUGAUGAGCACGGAGCAUCUGUGGCAAAGGAAAAAAACACCGUCUUCAAAUUUUGAGGAGCAAACAUGACCCUUUCUGUUUCUACUGCUUCCCACCCACAUUCAGUUAGUGUAAGAGAAGAAGGAAAAUGAGGGGAAAAAAAAAAAAAAGGCAGAAAUAUUUUCUUUGCGGGGAAGGACCAAAGAAUGUAUUAUUUUCUCAGUCACAAGCAAGCACUUUCAUCACCUCUGCUUUCAUUUUGCUCCAUAUCAUAAGUGACAGGGAAUUUUUUAUAUAUUACUGGUGUAACUUAGAAGAGGUCACAUGUCUAAAAGUUCUCCUGCGGGAGUCUUCUUUUGGAUGUAUGCAAAUUUUACAGUGCUUAUGCCACUUGUAAUUUGGAGAUAGGUAUAAGCAAAUGCAUAUGCAUAUGUAAAAUGGAGAUUAUAUGUGUAUAUGCAAUUUUGCAGAAUUAAUCAACCAAGAAUGUACAAAAACUAUAAAUGGUUUGUUGAAAUUUGGCUCAAAAAAGAUUUAUGAAUUAUCCUGCUAUAGCAGCUUUCACUCAAUGAUGCGAAAUGCACUUUUUUAUUAAUAAUUAAUAACUUAUGAGAUUUACAUGAUAAUGGGGCUUUAAGCAACCUGGUCUAGUGGAAGAUGUCCCUGCCCAUGGCAGGGAGUUGGAACAACAUGGUCUUUAAGGUCCCUUCCAACCCAAAUGAUUUAAUGAUUCUAUGAUAAUAUUAUUGCCCCAGAAUAGCAUUUUAACAACAUAUCCCAAUCUUGAGAGGACCUGUUCGUACCUAUGUUUAUUCACAAUUGCUGUAGUGGUGUUUU
Molecule: long non-coding RNA, 2923 nt
Organism: Pseudopipra pipra
Lineage: Eukaryota; Metazoa; Chordata; Aves; Passeriformes; Pipridae
Exons: 3
Source: RefSeq, a predicted model, not a curated record